UACGUAGGGGGCAAGCGUUGUCCGGAUUUAUUGGGCGUAAAGAGCGUGUAGGCGGCUAGAUAGGUCCGUUGUGAAAACUCGAGGCUCAACCUCGAGACGCCGAUGGAAACCAUCCAGCUAGAGUCCGGAAGAGGAGAGUGGAAUUCCUGGUGUAGCGGUGAAAUGCGCAGAUAUCAGGAAGAACACCCGUGGCUAAGGCGGCUCUCUAGUACGGUACUGACGCUGAGACGCGAAAGCGUGGGGAGCGAACAGG
RNAcentral lists this ribosomal RNA (253 nucleotides) under uncultured bacterium. RNAcentral describes it as "partial 16S ribosomal RNA". It matches the Rfam family "Bacterial small subunit ribosomal RNA", at positions 524 to 776 of the family's 1533-position model. The record is from RNAcentral.